ACCAGAAUGGCUGAGUGGUUUAAGGCGUUAGACUUAAGAUCUAAUGGACGUGCAGGUGUCCGUGUGUGUUUCGAAUCCCACUUCUGGUA
This is a non-coding RNA of Rhineura floridana, 89 nucleotides long. Lineage: Eukaryota; Metazoa; Chordata; Lepidosauria; Squamata; Rhineuridae. The record is from the annotation of a RefSeq genome assembly.